Molecule: long non-coding RNA, 494 nt
Organism: Manduca sexta (tobacco hornworm)
Lineage: Eukaryota; Metazoa; Arthropoda; Insecta; Lepidoptera; Sphingidae
Exons: 2
Source: RefSeq, a predicted model, not a curated record
GAUCAGUUAACAUCUAAUCAUGUCACGUUCGUUGCAUUAGCUUCUUUCGAUCUGUAAUAAUUUAAACGGAUAAAGCAUGUACUUAUCAAACAUUACCUAAUAAUUACAUGCCCCGAAGUCAAUACCGGGGGAAAAUAGCAAAUGGGAAACAAGAUUCUCCCGGCUUAGCGACUGCCUGGAGGAAGGAGGAGAGGGGAUGGUCAGAAAGGAAAUGAAGGGGAAAGGAGAAAGAACUAUUUUUAGGAUGAGCGAAGAGAAAGAGGGGUAAUGUUCGCGUGCCCUUAUAAGUUUGAAUAUGAAUUGGAAUGGUAACUAUGAGGUAUACACACUUAAUCAUGUGCCUAAGGCCUCGACCAGCGACGAUGCCGCGCAAAUGUUCCCUCGUACAUGGGCGUGCAUUCGCUGUGGAGGCCUACACAAGAAUUGCCUCAGAGGGGAAAGGGUACUUGGUUUGAUUACAGCAAACUGAAUAAAGUUCAAUUCCCUAUUGUUGA